RNAcentral lists this unclassified non-coding RNA (1944 nucleotides) under uncultured fungus. Its description in RNAcentral is "sequence contains 18S rRNA gene, ITS1, 5.8S rRNA gene, ITS2, 28S rRNA gene". Lineage: Eukaryota; Fungi. The record is from RNAcentral.
UGAGCGGAACCACGAACGAAUUGGAGAUGCUCGUCUGGUCGGUCACGUUCUGGCCGAACACGCCGAUGGAAAACCGAUUGGCGAUGGUGCCGAGUGUGAGCGACGCGUCCACCACCCAGUAUCCCUGCUGCUGCUGUUCAGGCAGGAAGUCGAGCCCCACCAGUGUCUCGGACUGGUAUCGCGUGCGCGCGUGAGCCACGAGUGUUCUGCCGCGCGCGAGAUUGAACGUCUGCUCCCCACCAAGUGCGAGCGUCCAUUCGGGUGCAUACGGCGCCCGUCGUCCCGAGCAGUCGACCGCAAACCCCGUCUGCGUCGAGUCCACGGUGCAGCCGGUAAGCGGACGACCCAAUUGAGUCGACGUCGUGUAGGCAUACGCAUCGUACUUCGCAUCGAGAAACUGGACAUCCGCCGAGAGUUUAGUCGUCGUGGAGAGACGAUAAAGAAGGUCGGUCUCAAGGCCACGGAUGCUCACCUGGCCAAUGUUCUCGGUUCGCAGGUUCGGAAAGCCUUUCGAGUCUACCACGACCCUGGUGACUUGCUGAUCCUGGUAGCGCCAGUCGAACAACUCCAUGCUCCCCUGCAGGCGUUGCGCGAACAGGCGACUCUUCACGCCGAGCGUAAAGGCAUCGACGUAUUCGGGCUGGUAAACUUUGGAAUCGAAGUUGAAGAAGAAGCCCCCGGACUUGAAGCCGGUCUCGUAGCUCACAUAGAGAAGUGAGCGCUCAGUCAGAUCGUAGUCCAUGGCGGCCCGCCACGUCGGGUGAGAGAAUGUCACCGCUGUGUCCGAGAGCAUCCGGAGCCCUGUCGUUAUCGUGCCGUUGACAGCGUCGACCUUCGGCACGGCCGUCGAUGAACCGGGAAGGAAGACGAGCGGCGACGUUGCGAUGUCCAACGGGAAUGGCUGCGCGUUCGGACACGACGCCUGGCGACACACGACGUUGAAGCUCUCUAGGGAUCCCUGGACGUCCUUAUCCUCGUGCGUCAGGCGUGCACCAAGCGUAGCGCGCAGCUUGCUCGUUGCGUAGAAGGUCGCGCUACCAAAUGGCGCAAUACUCGUGGUUGAUCCUUUGGGACGCUGAAGUGAAAAGUUGAACUGAUUGUAUGGGCGCGUGUACAGGUCGACGCUUUCGUCGAAGUAGAACACACCGAGGAGAGUGCGUACGCGCGUAUGAGGCGUGGAAGACAGACGGGCCUCAACCGUGGCCUGCUGACUAUGCUCGUCGAGCGUAAAGAGGUUCCCCACCGCGCUGCCUGUCGCAUCGAGGUCGCUGUUCCGGAAAGCCGGAAUCAGUGUGAGAUCGCCUAGCUUCGUUUGCCAAUCCACCGUGGCAUUCAAACCCCAGUGGUGGUUGUCGUUGCGCUGAAUCGCCGACAUGGGCAGCCAGUUGCGCCCUGCGAGUGCCAUGCGCUGGGUCUCAUAGUACUCGCCGCCUUCCGUCGAAGCCGCGCCGACACGUUCGUCUCGGGGAAGGGCCAGCGGUGUCGCGCCCGCACCAUGACCGCCUUGAUCGUAGUAGUCGCCGCCAACGCGAACGGAGAAUGCGUCGCUUGCCUUGAAUCGAACCAAUAGCCGCGCGGACCAAUCGUCCUGGUCGUCCGUGCCGUCCUUCAUGUAAGCGUCGUGCUGCACGCGCUGCGCUGCCACACGUACCGCCGCCUUGUCUCCAAGCGGCGCGUUCAGCCAGCCAUCGACGUUGCGGCUGCCGUACAUGCCGAGUCCGGCGGCCAUCUCACCAGCGAGAGUUUUCAGUUUCGGGAGUCGGGGCAGGAUGUUCAGCACGCCACCGGUCGCGUUGCGUCCGUACAGCGUGCCUUGCGGCCCCUUGAGCACUUCGAUCCGUUCGAGGUCGUAAUACAGGCCGCUCGUGGACGUGGAGUGACCGAUAUACACCCCAUCAAAAUUGAAGAUCACGGCUGGAAAAAAAUCCUGAAACGAGGAGCCGG